AUGGAGUCCCUCGAAGCGUGGAGAUGCUACCAGAUUGCCAAUAACCUGUACAUAAGGAUACAUUACUUUUGCACAGAUUGUUGUAGAAUGUUUUGUUUAAUGACAUCAGAGGUAUUCAUACUAUUAGACCUUCUCUAUUCCUAUUUUCCUGUUGUGGAUAAUAGCAUUUACAUAGGACACUCUGAAAGUAAUGCCUCCUAUUUAUUUCCAUGGAAACUUCAACACAUACAAAGAGCACAGUAACACUAUUUCAUAGAGCAAAUUCUAAUCUACAAUACACUGUUUCUCAACAUAGUCAUCACCACUAGCUGAGUGAGAGGCUCUUCAUUUUGUGGUAUGACAGCUGUGCAUGGCCAUCCAGAACAUGGCUUGAACUUCAUGUCUGUGUCAUCACUGCUGACGCGCAACACCCACAACCUCACUUUGCUCACAUCCACUGGUUGGUCUCCAUAAACAUUCAGCAAACAUCAAUGAAUGUCAAUAUUUGUGUUUUUUUCCACAUGGAAGAGUUCAGUGACAUACCCUUGCUUAAUAGGCACUUCCACAUCAGGCUUGUCAGACUGCCCCUCUGCUGCCAUCUGUCACAUGGCAAAAAAAUAUAAUGGAAUAUUGGUGGGAAGAUUCAGCCUCUACUGCCAUACCACCAUCUCUGACACUGUGGAGUAACAUAAUAAAAUAGGAGGCAUUACAUUUGAAGCA
RNAcentral lists this long non-coding RNA (699 nucleotides) under Numida meleagris (helmeted guineafowl). Its description in RNAcentral is "lncRNA (ENSNMEG00000014613.1)". The record is from RNAcentral. Lineage: Eukaryota; Metazoa; Chordata; Aves; Galliformes; Numididae.